This 237-nucleotide ribosomal RNA is filed under the name uncultured bacterium. Its description in RNAcentral is "partial 16S ribosomal RNA". It matches the Rfam family "Bacterial small subunit ribosomal RNA", at positions 118 to 352 of the family's 1533-position model. The record is from RNAcentral.
UGAGGAACAUGACUUUCGGCGGGGGAUAGCCGGCCCAACGGCCGGGUAAUACCGCGUACGACCUUUUGGGGACAUCCCCGAUUGGUGAAAGCAGCAAUGCGCCGAAAGAGUGCCUCGCGGCCUAUCAGCUAGUUGGUGGGGUAACGGCUCACCAAGGCGACGACGGGUAGCUGGUCUGAGAGGAUGGCCAGCCACAUUGGGACUGAGACACGGCCCAGACUCCGUACGGGAGGCAGC